Molecule: ribosomal RNA, 387 nt
Filed under: uncultured Prorocentrum
Lineage: Eukaryota; Dinophyceae; Prorocentrales; Prorocentraceae
Description: partial small subunit ribosomal RNA
Rfam family: Eukaryotic small subunit ribosomal RNA
Source: RNAcentral
GCUUGUCUCAAAGAUUAAGCCAUGCAUGUCUAAGUAUAACUCUUUUACUUUGAAAACUGCGAACGGCUCAUUAUAUCAGUUAUAGUUUCUUUGAUAGUCCCUUACUACUUGGAUACCCGUAGUAAUUCUAGAGCUAAUACAUGCGUCAGAACCCAACUUUACGGAAGGGUCGUGUUUAUUAGAUACAAAACCAACAUCUCGUUGGUGAUUCAUAAUAACCAAGCGAAUCGUCGGUUUACCGACGAUAGAUCGUUCAAGUUUCUGACCUAUCAGCUUUGGUCGGUAGGGUAUUGGCCUACCGAGGCAAUGACGGGUAACGGAGAAUUAGGGUUCGAUUCCGGAGAGGGAGCCUGAGAAACGGCUACCACAUCUAAGGAAGGCAGCAGG